UAAGACGAACCGUGCGAACGUUGUUCGGAAUCACUGGGCUUAAAGGGCGCGUAGGCGGCUUGUUGCGUCCGUGGUGAAAGCCCCCGGCUUAACCGGGGAAGUGCCGCGGAUACGGGCAAGCUCGAGUGGGGUAGGGGCAGACGGAACUUCCGGUGGAGCGGUGAAAUGCGUUGAUAUCGGAAGGAACGCCGGUGGCGAAAGCGGUCUGCUGGGCCCCUUCUGACGCUGAGGCGCGAAAGCCAGGGGAGCGAACGGGAUUAGAUACCCCGGUAGUCCUGGCCCUAAACGAUGGGUACUGGGUAGUGGGUCAGGCAUGGACUCACUGCCGGAGCAAAAGUGUUAAGUACCCCGCCUGGGGAGUAUGGUCGCAAGGCUG
Molecule: ribosomal RNA, 376 nt
Filed under: uncultured bacterium
Lineage: Bacteria
Description: bacterial SSU rRNA
Rfam family: Bacterial small subunit ribosomal RNA
Source: RNAcentral